Molecule: long non-coding RNA, 4183 nt
Organism: Mesocricetus auratus (golden hamster)
Lineage: Eukaryota; Metazoa; Chordata; Mammalia; Rodentia; Cricetidae
Exons: 2
Source: RefSeq, a predicted model, not a curated record
AUUUUAAAGAGACUUGGGAUAUUUUAAGGAGAUUGGGCUUUUAAAUUCUAUGUAUUUAUGUAUGUGCUUAUUUAUUUUAUGUGUAUUAGUAUUUUGCCUGCAUAUAUAUGUGUCCUACAUGCAUGAGUUACAUACAGUUGUGAACCACUAUGUGGCUGUUGCCAAUUGAACCUGGGUCCUCUGAAGAGCAGUCUGCUCAUAGCCACCAACUAAGCCCUAUGACUGAACUUUUAAGGUCAGAAGUUGGGAUAUUUUAUAUAUUGUAACAUGGUAUUAAUAUGGGAUCUUGGGGAUAUACAAGAAACAAAAAGUUAUUAUUUAAUAGUGUUGUACUGUCAACUUGACAAGAAGGCAACUGUCCUACUUAGAUUUUGUUUGUUUUUGUUUUUCAUUGUUUUGUUUUGUUUUGUUUUGUUUUGCCAACUUGACACGAGACAGGGUCAUCUGGAAGGAGGGGCCUCAACUGAGAAAAAUGCUUCCAUCAAACUGGCCUGUAGGCAAGUCUGUAGAGCUUUUCUUGAUUAUUGACUGGCGUGGAGGGACCCAGCCCACUGUGGAUGGUGCCACACCUGGGCUGUAUAAGAAAGCAGGCUGAAUAAGCCACGGGGAUUAAGUCAGUAAGCAGCGCCCCUCCGUGGUCUCUCCUUCAGUUCCUGCCGUGAGUGCCUGGCUGGACUUCCCUUCAUGUUGGACUACAGCUGUAAGCCCUCAGCAGUGCGGCUGGAAAAGGCAUUGACCUUUCACUCAUACCCCCAGCCAGACAGCUGCUGUCUCGGUGCCCUGAGAUCAUCCUGUCCAUCUGUCCAGCCCAUGUAGAUGGUGGAUCGAUGAUGGAGGCGAGCUCACUUCACAGGACCCUUGAGCACUCCCUGGACACUGACUGGAGUGAAGGAAUGACGCUAGCUUUGCUUUUCCUCUCACCACCACUGCCCUUGAGAAGUGCCUAGCCCUACUGGAGGACAAGCAACGUCACAAGAGCCUCCAGGAAACGCCAUUCUAAAGAUGACAGGGUCUGAGGGCCAGGAGCAGCCCCUCGCAAGGGAGUGGGUGUGGGAACAAAGGGUUUGCUCAGGAGGGUCACACUCCUAGAGGAGGCACAAUGUGACAUGGUAAACAGGAUAAUGGCUCUGCUCUCUAGAGGCCAAGCCUGGGCGUGGGGCAGCUGUGACAGCUACAAAAUGACUAUGACCUCUCUCCCUCUGUCCCAGCUCAUCCAGUGUCAGCUGUCCCAGGUUCUACGGCGGCCACUGUGAGUCUGGAGGUUGGAGCAGGAGUAGGGGCCUCACCUACAGGCAGCCUGAAUUCUCUGUAGCCUGCACUCACUUGAGUUUGUUUGUUUGUUUGUGUUUCCUCUUUGCUCUGCCUGGAGCCUACCCUUUAGGUAGAGCAGCCAUGGGGAAACUCACAGGCAAACAUGGUGACAAACGGUCACUGUUCUGUGGCCUAGGGGGGACAAAGGCAAGAUUAAGCUGAUGCCUACUGAAAGAAUUUUAUACACAUUAACAUUUGAGUUGGGCUUUGCAGGGUGAAUAGGAGUUCCCCAGAUGGAGACUAGAAGGAAGAGGGACAUGGAAACUUAGAUUGGGCAAGGACCCAAAGACAUAAAAAUCCAGGGACCAUGAUUCCCAAGAAUCUGGUUUUCAAAGGAUGAUAGGAAUGGAAUGUUGGUUCAGGCUGCAGGAGCCAACGAUUUUGAUUUCAUUCUGUAAACAGGUGAGAGAUAUUACAGAAUUUUAAGCAAGGGACCCACAUAGUCAGGUUUACAUUUGGGAAGACAACAUACUUGCUGGGUCAUAAAAGAUGAGAGAGCAAGAAACUACAGCAAAAAUAAAGGAUGUUUUAUAACAACUCCUGAAAACAAAACAGAGAGGAAAGCCAACCCUGGCCUCCAGAGGCUCAUUGCCCAUGCAUAGCUAUUCCCAGACUCUGCCCAAGCACCACUAGACAGAGACCAAGACUGCUGCCUAUCAGACCUGAGCUGGCUCUGGGGCCCCAAAAGGUGAAUCAGGCUUAGCACCAACUGUGGAGAUAGGUAGACCAGAUAGAUAGGACAGCAGUGAUCGGUAGUAGUAUGGAUUUUGGGCAGCACUCACUAGAGUGCUGCUGGAACACAUGAGGGCUCUGGGGAGUUGUUGAUACCCUGGUGGAGACGGAUGUCCUGGAAGGGGUACCACUUGGGAUGAAGGACCUUCUAGACAGAAGGAACACUGAGCAAAGGCAUUGCAGGGGAAGUGUUCUGGAAUGCUCUGUGACACAGCCAACGUUUGUAGUCUAGAGGGGGGCCACAGGAGGAGUUCAGGCUGCAUUCCGUGGUCUAAGACUCACAGCCAAGGAGGCAGAUCACAACUAUGCAUUCUGAAGGCCUCUGAAGCGGAGGUCUAGGGUGAGUGGAGCCAGCCUUCCUAGCACAUCCAGAUUCCACCCCCAGCACCUCACAAGCAAACCUCACAGAUGUGCCUGAGUGGGCGCGUGCAGGGUGGGCUUCUGGAACCUUGCACCCAUCCUUGGAGCUCCAAACUAUUGCCACAGGGACAAAGAGCCACAAGAAGAUGGCCUGGCCAGGCUCACCACUUGGAACUGAACAGACGGCGGAGGACACGUGGGGACUCAUCAGGACACCACAGCAAGGACAAUGUCUGGAGGAAUUGGUGCCCUCCAGAGAGAAAAAAGCAGCCUUAAAAAGUCACAGAAGACAGACCCUGAUAGAAUUUGGGGUCUAAGAAUGCUGGGACAGGAAUGAUGAUGGGCAGAGAGGCACUCCUGUCAAUAGGAGAAUCUAAAACCAGGUAGUGGCUCCUCGCAGCCUUAAGGGCAAGGAUUUCUUUUCAAUAUUGACAAAAAGUAUGUGGGGUUAAGAAGAUAGUUCAGUGAGUAAGAGCUUUGCUCUGCAAACAUGAGGGUCUGAGUUCAGAUCUCCAGUACUUGUGAAAGAGAUCGGGCUUGGCUAUGUGUGCCUGUGAUUCCAGCAUUGUCAGGUGGAGACUGAUGGAUCCCGAGAGCUUGCUGGCCAGCCAGCCUAGCCCAGUAGGUAAGUUUCCGGUUCAGUGAGAGACCUUGCUUCAAGGCAAUAAUGUGGAGAGCAAUAGAGAAAGACACGAGACACCUGCUCUGACCUCUGAACACAGCUGAGCGCGUCCAGACACUCACAUGCAUGUACUCCCACACACACAUGCAUGCACAUGUCCUGAUAGUUGAUAGUAAGACAGACUUACAAGAACAGAAAAUUCCCAGUGACCCAAGCCCUGGGGCUUCUGAAGAGGGUUUAGACCCCUCCCUGUAUGUACCACAGCGGCACAGGUACAUACAAGAUGCAGAGCAGAUGGGCAGGUCCUGACGAUGGAUCUGGUCUCACUGGUAUGUGACCUUGGACUUACGGACUAAAUGAGUAGUGUUGACCAAUGGGGUCUGACGCAGCUUUUGCCCCUGGAGACACGUGUAUGCAGAGGACUGGAAGAUACCUGCCAUGUAAGAACUCCUGGGAGGCCUCUCUAGGAUUGCUGCUCCUGGCAGGUGUGAGGACCCCCGGGUCAUGGGUGGUGGUCUUUGGCAGGGACACCUUGUUGUUGACCUCCUAGAUUGUAACAUGGGACAUAGCUGACAAAAACAUGUCCACAGACUGAUCAUUGUCCCAUCACUAACCUGCAUUGUGCCCUUGUGAGGCAGUGAUUCUUUGACCCCAAGGCAUAGAGCUAAGUACCUGUCCCUACUGUGACUUUUACUACAUUAAAGUUAGACCGGAGUUUCAGUAUGAUGCAACUGAACUAUCUGGGAACCUGGGAGGCCCUUACCUUGGCAUGCAGAUGUUGGGAGACCCCACUGCUCAGAGGUUGCAGUCUACCCUAGCUUAGCAGCUCUCCCCGGGCUUGGCACAAUAUAAAAGAACUCCCACCCCCAAGUGGGGACUUCCUGCUCUCUACCUAUCCUUAUCUGGAAGAUAUCUCUACCCAGGAUGUCUGACUUAUCUCAAGGAUGACUCUUGACACAGUUCCUUGCUAAUGCUCUUCCCUCGCUGCCUACAUGGUAAUUAAAUAGCAUGCUCUAGCUAUUUUCAUAGGGCCAUGCUGUCACUAGUCCAGCUAUGAUAGGAGUUUGCCACAUAAUGCAAAUUAGGGUUUGCCCCAGCUAACACCUGAAUCCUAUAUAUCCCCUAUACUUUGAAAUAAAGUUGGGCUGUCUCAUUGAA